Long non-coding RNA from Mauremys mutica (yellowpond turtle), 525 nucleotides. RefSeq lists it as uncharacterized. The transcript has 3 exons. The record is from RefSeq and is a predicted model, not a curated record. Lineage: Eukaryota; Metazoa; Chordata; Testudines; Geoemydidae.
GUUUGCUAUUGGUAAAAUAUAUAUAUAGAGAGAGAUAUAUCAAGGGAAGGCGAGCAAAUGGUUUUGGAUCUGACAGUCCACCUCAGAUUCUUCUCAAAAUCACUUCAGAAGUACCUAAACAGUGGGAGAUUAAGUUUGAGUUUUCCUUUGUGUAUGGAGUGGACCCAAACCUACGCAGAUCUGUUUUAUUGGCAUGGGAACGUGAGAUUAAAAGAGAAACUUGACUGUCUAUUGGGGGAAGAAAAAAAACCCUCCAUUGAACAAUGAAGUUAGUUGCUUUGCAGGAGGCAAACACUCAGACAUUUGAUUAGAAAGUUACGCAAAAUGUGUAUCAGAAUAAAACCAGGAACAUCUGGGAUGAUUUGCACAGCAUGCGGAAUCUGGGCUAUGAAGUAUGAAUUCCUGAUAAUUAAAUGAUUUCCAGAACCUUGUUCUCCAGGACUGCGGUGGACUGCCCUCCUUGAAGAAACCACCCACGUAAUAAUGACCCCGGAGAGCAAAACAAAACCCAACUGGCUUCAAUGC